UACAGAGGGUGCAAGCGUUGUUCGGAAUUAUUGGGCGUAAAGCGCGUGUAGGCGGGUCGUUAAGUUGGGGGUGAAAUCCCGAGGCUCAACCUCGGAACUGCCUUCAAAACUGGCGACCUGGAGCAAGAUAGAGGCAAGUGGAAUUGCGAGUGUAGAGGUGAAAUUCGUAGAUAUUCGCAGGAACACCAGUGGCGAAGGCGACUUGCUGGACCAAUACUGACGCUCAUGUGCGAAAGCGUGGGGAGCAAACAGG
Molecule: ribosomal RNA, 253 nt
Filed under: uncultured bacterium
Lineage: Bacteria
Description: partial 16S ribosomal RNA
Rfam family: Bacterial small subunit ribosomal RNA
Source: RNAcentral